UGUAAGCGUAUACCAAAGUUGUUGCAGUUAAAACGCUCGUAGUCGGAAUUUGGCAGUUCCGGAUGUGUGCACGUCGUGUGCGCACUUCGCGGGGAUUGCUUUUGUGGUCUUGCGUAGGAUGAGGCACUUUUAUUAGUGAACGUCCUCACGCAACCACUUUUUACUGUGAGAAAAUCAGAGUGCUCAAAGCAGGCAUUUGCCGUGAAUGUAUUAGCAUGGAAUAAUAGAAUAGGACUUGGUUCUAUUUUGUUGGUUUGUUGGGACUGAGUAAUGAUUAAGAGGGACAGUUGGGGGCAUUUGUAUUUCGGUGCUAGAGGUGAAAUUCUUAGAUUACCGAAGGACAAACUGCUGCGAAAGCGUCUGCCAAGGAUGUUUUCAUUGA
This 382-nucleotide ribosomal RNA is filed under the name uncultured eukaryote. Its description in RNAcentral is "partial 18S ribosomal RNA". It matches the Rfam family "Eukaryotic small subunit ribosomal RNA", at positions 592 to 976 of the family's 1831-position model. The record is from RNAcentral.